Molecule: ribosomal RNA, 465 nt
Filed under: Enterococcus faecalis
Lineage: Bacteria; Bacillati; Bacillota; Bacilli; Lactobacillales; Enterococcaceae
Description: partial 23S ribosomal RNA
Rfam family: Bacterial large subunit ribosomal RNA
Source: RNAcentral
CUGGUCGAGUCGGCCUGCGCGGAAGAUGUAACGGGGCUAAACCAUGCACCGAAGCUGCGGCAGCGACGCUUAUGCGUUGUUGGGUAGGGGAGCGUUCUGUAAGCCUGCGAAGGUGUGCUGUGAGGCAUGCUGGAGGUAUCAGAAGUGCGAAUGCUGACAUAAGUAACGAUAAAGCGGGUGAAAAGCCCGCUCGCCGGAAGACCAAGGGUUCCUGUCCAACGUUAAUCGGGGCAGGGUGAGUCGACCCCUAAGGCGAGGCCGAAAGGCGUAGUCGAUGGGAAACAGGUUAAUAUUCCUGUACUUGGUGUUACUGCGAAGGGGGGACGGAGAAGGCUAUGUUGGCCGGGCGACGGUUGUCCCGGUUUAAGCGUGUAGGCUGGUUUUCCAGGCAAAUCCGGAAAAUCAAGGCUGAGGCGUGAUGACGAGGCACUACGGUGCUGAAGCAACAAAUGCCCUGCUUCCAGG